RNAcentral lists this small nuclear RNA (19 nucleotides) under Arabidopsis thaliana (thale cress). Its description in RNAcentral is "snRNA_17093". Lineage: Eukaryota; Viridiplantae; Streptophyta; Magnoliopsida; Brassicales; Brassicaceae. The record is from RNAcentral.
UCGAGCUGCUUCCGCGGCG